RNAcentral lists this ribosomal RNA (253 nucleotides) under uncultured bacterium. RNAcentral describes it as "partial 16S ribosomal RNA". It matches the Rfam family "Bacterial small subunit ribosomal RNA", at positions 524 to 776 of the family's 1533-position model. The record is from RNAcentral.
UACGUAGGGUGCAAGCGUUGUCCGGAAUUAUUGGGCGUAAAGAGCUCGUAGGCGGUCUGUCACGUCGGACGUGAAAAUCCAGGGCUCAACCCUGGACCUGCGUUCGAUACGGGCAGACUAGAGUUCGGUAGGGGAGACUGGAAUUCCUGGUGUAGCGGUGAAAUGCGCAGAUAUCAGGAGGAACACCGGUGGCGAAGGCGGGUCUCUGGGCCGAAACUGACGCUGAGGAGCGAAAGCCAGGGGAGCAAACGGG